This is a non-coding RNA of Camellia sinensis, 780 nucleotides long. The record is from RefSeq and is a predicted model, not a curated record. NCBI's taxonomy places the organism in Eukaryota, Viridiplantae, Streptophyta, Magnoliopsida, Ericales, Theaceae.
AGAAAAUGUGAGGUUGACCACUCUACUUGACAAAAAAGAGGCCCAGCUCUUGGCCAUGAACGAACAAUGCAAGGUUCCAGUGGAUCUUGUCAUUGACAAUUCUGUUCAGGUUGAUGUGGCAGGAAGUGAAUGCAAUGCAGGCAAAUAUGGGGCUUGAAUUUCAGAGAAACAAGGAGAGGUUUGUUUUUCUGAAGUGGGGUUCCAAUGUUUUUCACAAUAUGCUCAUUGUUCCUCCUGGUUCUGGUAUUGUCCACCAGGUAAGACUUUGGCAUCAUUAGUGCAUCAAGGGUAUUUCUAUAUCUAGAUGUUAUACUGUUGUUAAAGGAAAAUUCUCAUGGCAAGGUGCAAUAAUUUGCCCUUAAGGUGGUAUGAAUGGUUUACUCUUAAAAGGGCCAAAACAUUAGAUAGGUAUAGGCUCAAUACAUGAGGUUUGCAAUGUUUAACUAUUUAUGGGGCUUCCAGAGUAAAGCCACAUUUACCUCUAGCCUCUUGUAAAUCAUAGUCCAAAUUUUCUCAUUUUUUUAGCACUAUAAUAUUAUUUGGUAGGUUUGGCAUUUAGCAAGUGACUCUGGUAAUUUUCAAGUUAAUCUUGAAUACCUUGGAUGGGUUAUUUUCUACACAAAUGGCAUUCUGUACCCUGAUAGCGUGGUUGGAAUUGAUUCCCAUACAAAUAUGAUUGCUGGCUUAGGAGUUGUUGGCUGGGGAGUUGGAGGAAUUGAAUCUGAGGCUACAAUGCUUCGCUAGGUGCAAAAGAAAAUGUAGCUUCUGCUUCUUCAAAAC